UUCAUUUUAUUCAUUAUCAUAGAUUGAAGGCUUAUGCUAGACGAAGAUAAUAGAGUACACAUUCUACUAAUUCAUUUAUUACUCUGUCGACCACUCUUUAUUCGUACUCGAGUGUAUGAGUAAGAAUGGUUUUCAUUUGCAGGCAUUGGUUCCUAAAAAGGGUUCGUUACUUUUUCUUCUUAAUUUUUGGGGCCAAAAAUUCAUUAUCUUACAAUCUGAAAAUUUUAAGGUACAACUAGAUGGUAUAUAACUAUUAAUUAAUUUUGUGUUCGUACUAGCAUAAUAGAAAUAUAUAAAUACUCGGCAAGUGGCACGUUAGCACCACACCUUCAGCACCAAUUUGCAGUGUGGUAUCCAGACGCAGAACCAACAGCAGCAGAAGAGGGCUAACAGUAAACAAUGAAGCAACCACCGCCAGCAGCAACACCUACAACACCUGUACCCCAAAUUGCAGAUAGGUGCCCAAAAAAUGCCCCCAGCUGCAACCUAAAGCUCAGAGACAAAAAUCUCAGCCAUACCAAACAGCAGCCCCUCAAAAACAAAGCCCAGUAGCAACCUGCAACUAAACAACAAAACACAGCAACACCAGCUAGACCCAAUCUGCAGCAACCUGGUUUACAACUUCCACAAUUAAUGAUAACCAGACCUUGGCAUGUUAUAGAAGGCAUGGCUUAGUAUUAAAAAAAUUAUAACUCAACCAAAUUAGACAUUAUAGAUAAGUUCAAUAAAGGUUCAAAGUUUCCCUUUUGCAACUGAUUUUCAACAAAACUAACUUGAUCUUCAUUCUCAAACUAGAUUCUAAUCUCAUUUUUAUUUGUUCAAUUCACUUAAAUCAUUACAUAAAACAGAUGUGAAAAGUUUACAAACUAUAAACCUAACCAAAUUCCUUAAUUUCAUCCAAAAGUUUCAAAGAAAACUUUUAUCAAACAUGACAUAUGCAUUCUUUAUUCUGGCAGAGAUCAUACAUGUUUAUAGAUAUAUAUAACCCCAUAUAUUACCUUCCUUAUAAUAUACUCCUCACAACAACUACUAAACUCCUUUCUUUCUACAAUUCAAACAAUAAUCAAACUAUAGAUCAAAAAUUCAUACUAUUUUAUAUUUAUAUUAACUACUUGAUAUAAACUUUAAAAACUCAUUCUUACCUCUGAUUUGCAGCCAAGUCUAAGCUUAAUGAUGCUUUAUUGUAGUUUGAUGCCAGGAAUAGCCUUUAAUUCAUUCAGACUUCAUAUCAUUUAAGUCAUUUUCUCCCAUUUUUGGCAGAACAAAAGAACACUUUUAGAGUUACUAACCAAAUUUUAGACAGAACAAAAUGGAACGGGUAGAAGACUGCUAUGAAAGGAUUUGAUAAUUUCCAUCCUCUGUUAUUAUCUUAUAUACUAACCAUCAUCAGAAUACUUGGUGGCAUCCUAAUUAAACUACAAAAACCUGCCGACUAAAUUAUAAAGACAUUUCCUCAAUAAAAAGUCAUAAACAUGGCAAACUCUAGAGAUCAUAUGUAUACUGAAAUCAUCAUCAUCAUCAUCAUCAUAUAUAUAUAUAUAUAUAUAUAUAUAUAUGUGUGUGUGUGUAUGUGUGUGUGUGUGUGUGUGUGUAUAUAGAGAGAGAGAGAGAGCAAGGAUCAAGUGCAUACCCCUUAUCUUACUCACCCGUGCUCACCCCCCUUUAGCGACGGACCCGGCGAUGAUUUUGGUCAUUCAACUGUCGUCUAUACUUUUAGUGACGGAUAACAUAUAGCGUCGCUAAAAGUAUAGACAAUGGUUGUAUGACCAAACCGUCGCCGGGUCCGUCGCUAAAGAGGGGUGAGCACGGGUGAGUAAGAUAAGGGGUAUGCACUUGAUUCGGACCGUAUAUANNNNNNNNNNNNNNNNNNNNNNNNNNNNNNNNNNNNNNNNNNNNNNNNNNNNNNNNNNNNNNNNNNNNNNNNNNNNNNNNNNNNNNNNNNNNNNNNNNNNNNNNNNNNNNNAUAUAUAUAUAUAUAAACACAUGCUUCGGAAAAAUAAACAAACAUAUUAAUCACUCAAAGUAUACUAAUAUUACCUGAAAUAGAGAAAAAAAGGCUGAAUUGAAUCGGAAGAAUCGCUUCCCGAAGCUGACGACUCCCAGACUACGAAUUAGCGAUUAUGAAGUGAAGCGGAUCUAGGGAUCAUAUGUAAACUAAAAUUGGGGAUUUGAGUUCAGGGCAUUAAAGUAGAGAUAGAAAUUGGGGUUUAAGUUUUAGGGAUUGUGUAGUAGUGUUAGAAACUUAAGUUUGAGGUGUAGCCUGUGGCGGUGAGAAGUAAUUCGACGUUCAACACCUUUUAGAUGGUUAUCAAUUUUUAAGCGGCUGGGAACUGAAAAUUUGGCAGGAAAAAAAUUGGGAGGGGCAAGACAAAAAUAUGGAGGGAAAUAUAAUUGGACCGAAAAUUCUUGCAGGAAAAAG
This 2419-nucleotide long non-coding RNA is filed under the name Panax ginseng (ginseng). RNAcentral's name for it is "long non-coding RNA (PGIN_LNC006785)". Lineage: Eukaryota; Viridiplantae; Streptophyta; Magnoliopsida; Apiales; Araliaceae. The record is from RNAcentral.